UCAGCUUCCCGUCCAGUCAGCUGCUCAGCUUCCCAGCCGCCAGCAUGAGGCUCCACCACCUUCUGCUUGCAUUCCUCUCCGUGCUCCUGCUGUCUGUGCCAGGUUUUUCUGACUUUAUAAAUCCUGGUACAUGCAGGAAGAUAGGAGGUCAAUGCUCACAAUUCGUUUGCCCUAGAGGUAAAAGAGCAAUAGCCUACUGCAUGGUGCCUGGAGUAAUGUGCUGUGUAGGAAAGUAACUUGAAAAGGAAGAACCAGUUGUCACACAAAGUCAUCGAAGACAUUGAAGACCUUUGCAAAGACAUCGAAUGGAAAUAAAAUUGAACCAUUUGGUUUAAAAACCAA
Long non-coding RNA from Phyllostomus hastatus (greater spear-nosed bat), 342 nucleotides. RefSeq lists it as uncharacterized. The record is from RefSeq and is a predicted model, not a curated record. The transcript is spliced from 2 exons. NCBI's taxonomy places the organism in Eukaryota, Metazoa, Chordata, Mammalia, Chiroptera, Phyllostomidae.